GAGAGGAACACUUUCAAAGAUCCUACCUAUCUUAGUCCAUUCAGGCUACUGUAGUAAGAUACCACCAACUGCGUGGCUUAUAACAACAGAAAUUUAUUUCUGACAGGUCUAGAGGCUGAAAAUCUAAGAUCAGGAUUCCAGCAUGGUUGCGUGAGGGCUGUCUUCUGGGUUUCAGACUUCUUGUGGUAUCUUCACGUGGCAGAAAGGCUCUUAAUAUUGUGCCAUGAACACCUUAGAAUAUUGGUGACAAACAGCUAAGUCAGUAGAACUGGAAACAAAAGAAAAUUCUUUUUAGCAUGGAAGAACAGCUAGUAACUCUGUCGGUUCAAGAAGAAGCAACAAGUUCAGUAUUUAUGGGACAGUUUAGAAAGGAAAUAAAUGGCUUCAAAUAAAGGCUACUUCUGGGACUGCAGAUGAAGAGGUGGUGGAAGCAGCAGAAAAGAGCAUCAUUCCUGCUUUCUUCUACAGUAGGGAGAAAUUAAGCCAACAUAUCACUGAGGAUGAGGAAACUGCUCAAACUAUCAUUUGCAUUGACUGGUUACUUCCUCAAUGUGGAGACACUCUUGGCCAAUGCAGUCAAAAUGUAAACUUUCAUUGUCCCAAAGAAGUAACAGUGGAAAAAGAAGGAGAAUUUACACUGACUUUUUUAACAUUUCAUCACUCCCAUCUCCUCAUUGCCACACAGGGAUGACUCACUUCUGCCUGUUUUCAAGGCCAAGAAGCAGCAUGAAAGAGGAAACAACUCCACUUAAAGAGUUUUCUCUUCUUGUUCAAGCCUGGUCAGUCUUGUAUCCCACAGCUGGGGAAAGAAGAAUGUAGAGACACUUCCAAUGUUCAUGUUGACCACAAAACUCUCUGUUAUUUCCUAUUCCAAGGCAAAAGCUGUGUGUCUAGGAGUAACUGAAAUGUAUACAGAGGUAUGGCUAGGGAUGGUUUUAUAGCAGGGAGGAUAUAUGGAUAAAUAUAUUUUCAUUUAAUUGCUGAAAGCAGCUUUACACAAAAGAUGACCUAAUAGCAGAACAAAAUAUCUGCAAAAAUAUAUCAACUUCUCUGUUUUAUUACCUCCCACAAGUACCCACAAACAUACAUGAAGUCCCUCUAGAGACCAAUCAGACAUAUCGUACAGAAUUUGCUGUAACCAAGGUAACAAAACAUUAUUUCUUUGCAUCAACUUUUAAGACAAAAAAAAAAAAUGAUUGUUAGAGUGAAUUUUUCUUUGUAAUGGUAUUUAUUGUUAAGAUGUUGACUUACCCUCAUUUUCAAGAUCUAGGUUAUAUCAGGCUAUUUUCUUCCAGGCACUAAUUAUAACUUUCAAUGAUAAUUAGGAACACCUGAAUUAUAGGUCGAAUCGUUUUUUGGGCCAUAGAUAAGUAAGAAUAUAGAUGUAACAUGAUUCUAAUUACUUUUAUGUUUCUAUGAAAAGGUAUUUAUUAACAUAACUGACUAUCAGUUAACUAAUACCUAUAUAUUGAUUACAUGGUCCACAAGCAUGACAUGCCUACUGAUAUAUGUAGUAUAAGACACUCUAAAUAAUUUGCAUGUUUAUUAUUUUAUAUAAAAUCAUUUGAUAUCUUUCUCACCAAAUUUAACUCAUUAAUAAUUAUCUGCCAUCUAGUUCUAUGAUGAAAUAGAAUAAAACAAUCCAUCCCAAAUAUUAUGUACUCUUGUAAGAGUACCAUGCCUCCCAAGGUCAUACACACACCUUUCUUAAUGUAGGUACUGUGUUCAAAGUUUUUAUUUAUAUGAGGAUUUCAUUUAGAUGCCCAGCAUUGCUCUUCAAAUAAACCCCUUUUGAUGUUCAUAACAGAAGGGCUCAGUAGCAGCCUGGAGUUCUGUGAUAUCAUGUUCUCCCACUAAACUUUACCCUGAUGAUCUCAAUUUGAUACGAAUCUCUGAUGGACAUGUUGGCACAGCCUUCAUUCCUGCAUGGAUUCCAUGUUACCUUUUUAAAAUAUCACUGUUACUUUGUCCAAACUUGACUCAGAAAGCCACAAUGACUAUUAUUACUUUGGGCUUCUGGUGAAUAACUACAGAUGGCUUGGUUGUUACCAAGUUCCUGAAAACUUUUACCUUGUAUGUAGUGUGUGAAUCAGUAGUGCUUACAAUUUAUCAUAUCCUGCAAUUCCAAAUGCUUGUUAUCAGUAUCACUAAUGUGAUGAUUGAGUUUAUAAUUCCAUUGAUUUAAACAAUGGCCAUUUUUACUUUAGAAAUUAAUGAUUGGUUACAAAAGUUUUUACCUACCAGCUAAAAUUUGAGGAAGAAAAUAAUUCAUACAAAGUAGCAAAGAGAUUCUAGUUAUACAAUCUUAGGCAUUUUCUUCUAUAUUUUGAAAGUAAUAAGCAUUUUCUUACAGCUUAAUGAAGUAAAAAUUAAGCCGUUAUCAGAGUGCUCCCAAUUUCCUCUGAAAGUGUCUUAUUCAAGCUGUUUCUCUUGUAUGUUUUCUUACAUUAGGGAGAAAAUGCUGCUCUAAAGAUCUAGAUUUCUAUUCCCUGGGACUAUGUACCUCAUAUGACUUAGUUUGACAAGAAUCAUUUUCAUUCUCAGUUAGGAAAUUAAAGCAUAAGGUAGUGUAAUAAAUAUGUGAUUGAACUUUGCAAUAGCAUAGGCUUAUUAGCUCUAAGAAUUUCCAAAAUUACAUUAAUUUUUUUCCUACCUCAUGAUAUUUGCCCUCUAGCUCUUGAAUUAGAUUUUUUAUCCAACUUCACAGUUGUCAUUUUGGUUUCAAACUUAGACAUUUUCUAGAGACUACAUCUG
This is a long non-coding RNA of Canis lupus familiaris (dog), 2754 nucleotides long. RefSeq lists it as uncharacterized. The transcript has 4 exons. The record is from RefSeq and is a predicted model, not a curated record. Lineage: Eukaryota; Metazoa; Chordata; Mammalia; Carnivora; Canidae.